GCACAAGCGGUGGAUGAUGUGGUUAAUUCGAUGCAACGCGAAAACCUUACCACCUUUGACAUGUACGGAAUCCUUUAGAGAUAGAGGAGUGCUCGAAAGAGAACCGUAACACAGGUGCUGCAUGGCUGUCGUCAGCUCGUGUCGUGAGAUGUUGGGUUAAGUCCCGCAACGAGCGCAACCCUUGUCAUUAGUUGCUACAUUCAGUUGGGCACUCUAAUGAGACUGCCGGUGACAAACCGGAGGAAGGUGGGGGAUGACGUCAAGUCCUCAUGGCCCUUAUAGGUGGGGCUACACACGUCAUACAAUGGAUGGUACAAAGGGUCGCCAACCCGCGAGGGGGAGCCAAUCCCAUAAAGCCAUUCGUAGUCCGGAUCGCAGUCUGCAACUCGACUGCGUGAAGUCGGAAUCGCUAGUAAUCGUGGAUCAGAAUGUCACGGUGAAUACGUUCCCGGGUCUU
RNAcentral lists this ribosomal RNA (457 nucleotides) under uncultured Acidovorax sp. RNAcentral's name for it is "bacterial SSU rRNA". It matches the Rfam family "Bacterial small subunit ribosomal RNA", at positions 923 to 1382 of the family's 1533-position model. The record is from RNAcentral. Lineage: Bacteria; Pseudomonadati; Pseudomonadota; Betaproteobacteria; Burkholderiales; Comamonadaceae.